Molecule: transfer RNA, 77 nt
Filed under: Pseudorhodoplanes sp.
Lineage: Bacteria; Pseudomonadati; Pseudomonadota; Alphaproteobacteria; Hyphomicrobiales
Description: tRNA-OTHER
Source: RNAcentral
GGCCCGGUGGCGGAGCGGCGACGCAAAAGGUCCUGCAAGACCUCCUUAGCCUGGUUCGAUUCCAGGCCGGGCCUCCA